CAGCAGCCACGGGAAUACGGAGGGAGCUAGCGUUGUUCGGAAUUACUGGGCGUAAAGCGCACGUAGGCGGCUUUGUAAGUUAGAGGUGAAAGCCUGGAGCUCAACUCCAGAAUUGCCUUUAAGACUGCAUCGCUUGAAUCCGGGAGAGGUGAGUGGAAUUCCGAGUGUAGAGGUGAAAUUCGUAGAUAUUCGGAAGAACACCAGUGGCGAAGGCGGCUCACUGGACCGGCAUUGACGCUGAGGUGCGAAAGCGUGGGGAGCAAACAGGAUUAGAUACCCCCGUAGUCCCUGUCUCUUAUAC
This 301-nucleotide ribosomal RNA is filed under the name uncultured bacterium. RNAcentral's name for it is "partial 16S ribosomal RNA". It matches the Rfam family "Bacterial small subunit ribosomal RNA", at positions 509 to 807 of the family's 1533-position model. The record is from RNAcentral.